Acephala macrosclerotiorum is the source of this 145-nucleotide non-coding RNA. Lineage: Eukaryota; Fungi; Ascomycota; Leotiomycetes; Helotiales; Mollisiaceae. The record is from the annotation of a GenBank genome assembly.
GCGUUUGUGGUUUAGUGGUAAAAUCCAUCGGUAAAUGAUCCAAUCAAAUCAAGACGUCGAAGCAUAUCCUAACUUUCACAGUUGCCAUAAGUGUAAAAGGCACUUCAAGCUCGAUGGGCCCCGGGUUCGAUUCCCGGCGAACGCA